GUGAAUCAUCGAAUCUUUGAACGCACCUUGCGCUCUCUGGUAUUCCGGAGAGCAUGCCUGUUUGAGUGUCAUGAACUCUUCAACCCACCGGUUCCUUGUUGAACCGAGUUGGUGUUUGGUUUUUGAGUUGUUGCUUUUUCGUAAUGAUCAAGCUCACUCGUAAUACAUUAGCAUCUCGAUUUCGAAAUUUCGGAUUGAUCUCAGCGUAAUAGAUCAUAUUCGUUGUAGGUAGCACUUUAUUUAGUUGGCGGAAGUUAUGAUAACAGUAGAAGCUUCUUAAUCCUACUAGUCAACUUUAUGAUUAGACCUCAAAUCAGGCAGGAUUACCCGCUGAACUUAAGCAUAUCAAUAAGCGGAGG
Molecule: ribosomal RNA, 359 nt
Filed under: uncultured fungus
Lineage: Eukaryota; Fungi
Description: eukaryotic LSU rRNA
Rfam family: 5.8S ribosomal RNA (bases 1-71)
Source: RNAcentral